RNAcentral lists this ribosomal RNA (2800 nucleotides) under Paramecium biaurelia. RNAcentral's name for it is "eukaryotic LSU rRNA". The stretch from base 1 to 1732 matches the Rfam family "Eukaryotic small subunit ribosomal RNA". The record is from RNAcentral. Lineage: Eukaryota; Ciliophora; Oligohymenophorea; Peniculida; Parameciidae.
AAGUCAUAUGCUUGUCUUAAAGAUUAAGCCAUGCAUGUCUAAGUAUAAAUAGUAUACAGUGAAACUGCGAAUGGCUCAUUAAAACAGUUAUAGUUUAUUUGAUAGUGCAAAUUACAUGGAUAACCGUGGUAAUUCUAGAGCUAAUACAUGCGCAAAUACCGGACGCAAGAAUGGUAGCAUUUAUUAGAUUUAACCAUCAUAUGGUGAAUCAUAGUAACUUAGCUGACCGCGUGUAUACGUGGUAAAUCAUUCAAGUUUCUGCCCUAUCAGCUUUCGAUGGUAGUGUAUUGGACUACCAUGGCAGUCACGGGUAACGGAGAAUUAGGGUUCGAUUCCGGAGAGGGAGCCUGAGAAACGGCUACCACAUCUAAGGAAGGCAGCAGGCGCGUAAAUUACCCAAUCCCGAUUCGGGGAGGUAGUGACAAGAAAUAGCAACUCGUGCGGGUUUCCGUUACGGGAUUGCAAUGAGAUAAGUCCAAAUCCGUAAACGAUUAACAAUUGGAGGGCAAGUCUGGUGCCAGCAGCCGCGGUAAUUCCAGCUCCAAUAGCGUAUACUUAAGUUGUUGCAGUUAAAAAGCUCGUAGUUGAAAUUCGAGUCAGUUACUAGUUGGCUUUUCGUCAGUUAGUUAAUUGAUUCUCCGUCUACAAUCCCUUUUGCGCUUUAGGGUUGCAGCUGGGCGAGUAGACAAUUUACCUUGAAAAAAUUAGAGUGUUCCAGGCAGGUCUUCGCCGGAAUACAUUAGCAUGGAAUAAUGGAAUAGGACUUGGGUCUUUUGUUGGUUUUAGGACUUGAGUAAUGAUUAAUAGGGACAGAUGGGGGCAUUAGUAUUUAAUUGUCAGAGGUGAAAUUCUUGGAUUUAUUAAAGACUAACUUAUGCGAAAGCAUUUGCCAAGGAUGUUUUCAUUAAUCAAGAACGAAAGUUAGGGGAUCAAAGACGAUCAGAUACCGUCGUAGUCUUAACUAUAAACUAUACCGACUCGAGAUCGGAAGGGUAAUAUAUUAGUCCCUUUCGGCAUCGUAAGAGAAAUCAAAGUCUUUGGGUUCUGGGGGGAGUAUGGUCGCAAGGCUGAAACUUAAAGGAAUUGACGGAAGGGCACCACCAGGAGUGGAGCCUGCGGCUUAAUUUGACUCAACACGGGGAAACUUACCAGGUCAAAACAUGGAUGGGAUUGACAGAUUGAAAGCUCUUUCUUGAUUCUAUGGGUGGUGGUGCAUGGCCGUUCUUAGUUGGUGGAGUGAUUUGUCUGGUUAAUUCCGAUAACGAACGAGACCUUAACCUGCUAACUAGUUUGCUUCUGAAUAAGAGGUAUAACUUCUUAGAGGGACUAUGUAUGUAAGUGCAUGGAAGUUUAAGGCAAUAACAGGUCUGUGAUGCCCCUAGACGUCCUGGGCCGCACGCGCGCUACACUGACACGUUCAGCGAGCUUAUUUACCUGUCCCGAAAGGGCACGGGAAAUCUUGUUAGGACGUGUCGUGCUGGGGAUAGAUCUUUGCAAUUAUAGAUCUUGAACGAGGAAUUCCUUGUAAGCACAGGUCAUCAGCCUGUGCUGAAUACGUCCCUGCCCUUUGUACACACCGCCCGUCGCUCCUACCGAUUUCGAGUGAUGUGGUGAACUAUCUGGACUGCGGAUGGGCUCGAACCAUUUGCGGGAAGUUUCGUAAACCUUAUCACUUAGAGGAAGGAGAAGUCGUAACAAGGUUUCCGUAGGUGAACCUGCGGAAGGAUCAUUUACACAUUCGAUCAUAACCUUAGAUUAGUGUUUGAUGUGCUUCUGUUCUAACAUUAGUUAGUCAGAAGUUCAAUAAACCUAUUCUCUAAUUUUUAUUUAACAUGUUUCAUUAUACCAGAAAAUUUUCAACGAUGGAUAUCUGGGUUCCCAUAACGAUGAAGAACGCAGCGAAAUGCGAUACGCAAUGCGAAUAGCAGAUCUGCGAGACAUUAGAUUUUCGAACGCACUUGGCGCUAGUUUACUAGCAUGUUUGUUUCAGUGUGUUUGGAGAGCAUCUUAUCAUCAAAAAGAAUGUGAUUGAGGCUUCGGCUUCUCUCAUUAAAUAAGAGAGUGUAUGAGUCUCAUACACAAAAAUGAAGUAGUCACAUCAUUGUGAUCUCAUUUUUGUCGAUUCUCUAAACAAGCGCUCUAUUAUUUCUCCUUUUUUGACACCUGAAAUCAAGCAAGAUCACCCGCUGAACUUAAGCAUAUCAGUAAGCGGAGGAAAAGAAACUAACAAGGAUUGCCUUAGUAGUGGCGAAUGAACCGGCAAUAGCUCAAAGUGUAAAUCUGAGGCAUCAAGUCUUAGAAUUGUAAUCUAUAGGCCUUUUAGGGAAGCCAUGGUCUUAGCAUAAGUUCCCUGAAAAGGGAUGCCAAAGAGGGUAAAAGCCCCGUAUUUGGUUAGGACUGGGUGUACCGAAGGGUUCCAAGAGUCGGGUUGUUUGGGAUUGCAGCCUAAAAUGGGAGAUAAACUUCUUCUAAAGCUAAAUAUUUAUGGGAAACCGAUAGCAAACAAGUACUACGAAGGAAAGAUGAAAAGAACUUUGAAAAGAGGGUUAAAAGACUUGAAAUCGUUGAGGAGAAAAGCGGUAGAAGAGAAAUGAUUUCAUUUAGAAGUAUGUAGUUUUGUAGGUGUCUUCUGUGGUGAUGGUACUUCAUAGGGCCUAGCUAUAGACCGGCGUCGCAUUGCUGCUUUUUCUGGGUGAAGUGCAAAAUGAGGUCUCGCUUGCGGAAACGUCUCUAGGGAAGACUCUGGCCUUGAUGCUGGAAGCCCUGGUCUCCAACGUAAGCCUGGCCUGAGGGCUGCAUC